AAGUCGUAACAAGGUUUCCGUAGGUGAACCUGCGGAAGGAUCAUUAAAUAAUCAAUAAUUUUGGCUUGUCCAUUAUUAUCUAUUUACUGUGAACUGUAUUAUUACUUGACGCUUGAGGGAUGCUCCACUGCUAUAAGGAUAGGCGGUGGGGAUGUUAACCGAGUCAUAGUCAAGCUUAGGCUUGGUAUCCUAUUAUUAUUUACCAAAAGAAUUCAGAAUUAAUAUUGUAACAUAGACCUAAAAAAUCUAUAAAACAACUUUUAACAACGGAUCUCUUGGUUCUG
RNAcentral lists this unclassified non-coding RNA (284 nucleotides) under Mucor circinelloides. Its description in RNAcentral is "partial internal transcribed spacer region". The stretch from base 1 to 46 matches the Rfam family "Eukaryotic small subunit ribosomal RNA", at positions 1786 to 1831 of the family's 1831-position model. Lineage: Eukaryota; Fungi; Mucoromycota; Mucoromycetes; Mucorales; Mucoraceae. The record is from RNAcentral.